AUUGAACGCUGGCGGCAUGCCUUACACAUGCAAGUCGAACGGCAGCGCGGGAGCAAUCCUGGCGGCGAGUGGCGAACGGGUGAGUAGUGCAUCGGAACGUGCCCAGUUGUGGGGGAUAGCCCGGCGAAAGCCGGAUUAAUACCGCAUGAGACCUGAGGGUGAAAGCGGGGGAUCGAAAGACCUCGCGCGACUGGAGCGGCCGAUGUCAGAUUAGGUAGUUGGUGGGGUAAGGGCCUACCAGGCAUGCGAUCUGUAGAUGGUGUGAGAGGGCGACCAGCCACAAUGGGACUGAGACACGGCCCAGACUCCUACGGGAGGCAGCAGGGGGGAAUUUUGGACAGUGGGCGCAAGCCUGAUCCAGCCAUUCCGCGUGCGGGAAGAAGGCCUUCGGGUUGUAAACCGCUUUUGUCGGGGAAGAAACGGCCUGGGCUAAUACCUUGGGCUAAUGACGGUACCCGAAGAAUAAGCACCGGCUAACUACGUGCCAGCCGCCGCGGUAA
This 500-nucleotide ribosomal RNA is filed under the name uncultured bacterium. RNAcentral's name for it is "partial 16S ribosomal RNA". It matches the Rfam family "Bacterial small subunit ribosomal RNA", at positions 29 to 523 of the family's 1533-position model. The record is from RNAcentral.